UAAACAAAUCUAUUGAAUGAUAAAAUUGACUUCCUAUCGACAUUAUCUGAAUGAAUUCGACUUGUUUGUCCGGCUGGUACAAUAUGUUGUGUAUAUUAGUAAGAUUUUUUGUUCGAUCGGUUGUACAUUGUAAUUAUAAUCGGCAAAUUUAUUAAAACAAUUAACUUAAUGUCGGAUACAGAAUGUGGUGAUUGUUCAUGUUUCGAUUGUGGAGAUUGCGGUAAUACGGAUAAUGAUGAAGUUGUGGAUUGUUGCGUUGAAUGUUGCUUUUGCACAAUGUGCCCGGAUACGACUUCAAGAAAAGAUAGAAAUGAGGAAAAACUGUUGCGCUUGGGUUACAGCAACUCUAAUGACAAUUAUUGUAAUCAUUAUUAUCGUAGUUGUCACCGUAACCCACUCGUAGUCCCGUUGAGUUGAUCUAACUAUUUGCAAAGGAACACAUUUUUUAUAUCUUUAUUUUUAAUCUGAUGUAAAAUUAUUUUUAAUUAUUUUAAAUCUUAUUCUAAUUUUAAUUGUUCAACUUUAACUACAAAUAAGACAAAAAUGUAUUUUAUAAUCUUUUUAAAGAUGGUAGAUUGGACUUUCUGAUUCCAUAACAGAUUUUACUCAAAAACUCAAAAAUGUGAUGUGAUGUAGAAAUUCUAAGGCCAGAUUCGGAUUCAGCAUAGAUCAAAGGUUUCAACCUGUAUGCAUGUAUAAUUCUUAUAUGAAAAUUGUCAGUAUAACAAUAACCAUACUUUGGGACAAUGAGUGGGGAAUAAUCUUCAUUGAUAUGAAGAAAUGCUCGAUAUUUUUGGAGACAUUUUCCUUAAAAAUAAUCUAUUGAAUUUAAUACAUAUAUUGUAAAUAAAAAUCUCUUUUUCUAUAAAA
Long non-coding RNA from Lucilia sericata (common green bottle fly), 870 nucleotides. RefSeq lists it as uncharacterized. The transcript is spliced from 2 exons. NCBI's taxonomy places the organism in Eukaryota, Metazoa, Arthropoda, Insecta, Diptera, Calliphoridae. The record is from RefSeq and is a predicted model, not a curated record.